This 468-nucleotide ribosomal RNA is filed under the name uncultured bacterium. Its description in RNAcentral is "partial 16S ribosomal RNA". It matches the Rfam family "Bacterial small subunit ribosomal RNA", at positions 28 to 507 of the family's 1533-position model. The record is from RNAcentral.
GACGAACGCUGGCGGCGUGCUUAACACAUGCAAGUCGAACGGAAAGGCCCUGCUUUUGUGGGGUGCUCGAGUGGCGAACGGGUGAGUAACACGUGAGUAACCUGCCCUUGACUUUGGGAUAACUUCAGGAAACUGGGGCUAAUACCGGAUAGGAGCUCCUGCUGCAUGGUGGGGGUUGGAAAGUUUCGGCGGUUGGGGAUGGACUCGCGGCUUAUCAGCUUGUUGGUGGGGUAGUGGCUUACCAAGGCUUUGACGGGUAGCCGGCCUGAGAGGGUGACCGGCCACAUUGGGACUGAGAUACGGCCCAGACUCCUACGGGAGGCAGCAGUGGGGAGUAUUGCACAAUGGGCGGAAGCCUGAUGCAGAAACGCCGCGUGCGGGAUGACGGCCUUCGGGUUGUAAACCGCUUUCGCCUGUGACGAAGCGUGAGUGACGGUAAUGGGUAAAGAAGCUCCGGCUAACUACGUG